Molecule: long non-coding RNA, 520 nt
Organism: Pomacea canaliculata
Lineage: Eukaryota; Metazoa; Mollusca; Gastropoda; Architaenioglossa; Ampullariidae
Exons: 3
Source: RefSeq, a predicted model, not a curated record
UAUAUAAGUACACUUUCCCUGGAUGGGACCAGACAGACCUCUCGCAUUACUACAAAGAAAGUCAAAGUUGAAUUUCAAGAUGUUGAAGGCAGUGCUGCUGGCAGCCUUAGUGUUCAUGACCAUCUUUAUGCUGGCUUCUUCACAAACCUUCGGACCGCCUGGUUUGGGAUUAAAUGGGGGAUAUCCCCUCUAUCCCCCUACUGUCGCCGAACGGCCGAACCCCUUACUUAACUUCUGGCUUUAUCGCCAUUUUUUUGACUAGCUGUGUGUUUUCCCCGACAUUUUACGGCCACCUGUCCAGAGUCACGUGACGACUGGUGACGUGUCAUCAAUCUGCGCCGGGAGGGCGAUAAACAGGUGCUUCAUCAUGGACCUGACGGCACUCUGUGGCCCUGUUUCCCUUCAGAUGUGUUAGCAACAUCCCAGUCCUACCGGUUAUAAGGCAAGCUAUGGAUGCAAGCUGCACAUCGCUGUGUUUACUACUUGCUUGGCUUGUUUAUUAAAGAAGUGCAAAUCCUUU